RNAcentral lists this ribosomal RNA (505 nucleotides) under uncultured bacterium. RNAcentral describes it as "partial 16S ribosomal RNA". It matches the Rfam family "Bacterial small subunit ribosomal RNA", at positions 28 to 507 of the family's 1533-position model. The record is from RNAcentral.
GACGAACGCUGGCGGCGUGCCUAAUACAUGCAAGUAGAACGCACAGUUUAUACCGUAGCUUGCUCCACCAUAAACUGUGAGUUGCGAACGGGUGAGUAACGCGUAGGUAACCUGCCUGGUAGCGGGGGAUAACUAUUGGAAACGAUAGCUAAUACCGCAUAAUAUUGAUUAUUGCAUGAUAAUUGAUUGAAAGAUGCUAUUGCAUCACUACCAGAUGGACCUGCGUUGUAUUAGCUAGUAGGUGAGGUAACGGCUCACCUAGGCGACGAUACAUAGCCGACCUGCGAGGGUGAUCGGCCAACCUGGGACUGGGACACGGCCCAGAACCCUACGGGAGGCAGCAGUAGGGAAUCUUCGGCAAUGGACGAAAGGCUGACCGAGCAACGCCGCGUGAGUGAAGAAGGUUGUCGGAUCGUAAAGCUCUGUUGUAAGAGAAGAACGGGUGUGAGAGUGGAAAGUUCACACUGUGACGGUAUCUUACCAGAAAGGGACGGCUAACUACGUG